Non-coding RNA from Trichobilharzia regenti, 46 nucleotides. The record is from Rfam. Lineage: Eukaryota; Metazoa; Platyhelminthes; Trematoda; Strigeidida; Schistosomatidae.
UCACUGAUGAGGAGUCCCAGACUAGGACAAAACAGUUGUCCAGUAA